AAUGAACGCUAGCGGUAUGCUUUACACAUGCAAGUUGUACGCAAUUUUUAAAGUUGAGUAGCGCACUGGUGAGUAAUACAAGAGAAUCUAAGCUUGGUUUGGAAUAGAAAGUGGGAAGGGUUAAACUUAGUACGCUUUGAAUACCAAAUAUAUAAAACUUUCAGGUUUUAUUUAAAAGAAUUUAUUUUCGCCGAGUACGAGCUCUUGUAAGAUUAGGUAGUUGGUAGCGGUAAUGGCCUACCAAGCCGAAGAUCUUUAGUUGUCCUGAGAGGGAGCACAACCACCCUGGGACUGAAACAAGGCCCAGCCUUCUUUAGGCAGCAGUGGGGAAUCUUGGACAAUUAGCGCAAGCUAGAUCCAGCAAUACCGCGUGAGUAAUGAAGGCAGUUUUGGUCGUAACAUUCUUUCGCUAUUGAAUAUAAUGAAAGUAAAUAGAUAAGAAGCCCCGGCUAACUUCGUGCCAGCAGCCGCAGUAAAAC
RNAcentral lists this ribosomal RNA (479 nucleotides) under uncultured bacterium. RNAcentral describes it as "bacterial SSU rRNA". It matches the Rfam family "Bacterial small subunit ribosomal RNA", at positions 29 to 526 of the family's 1533-position model. The record is from RNAcentral.